Molecule: ribosomal RNA, 301 nt
Filed under: uncultured bacterium
Lineage: Bacteria
Description: partial 16S ribosomal RNA
Rfam family: Bacterial small subunit ribosomal RNA
Source: RNAcentral
CAGUAGCCGCGGGAAUACGGAGGGUGCAAGCGUUAAUCGGAAUUACUGGGCGUAAAGCGCACGCAGGCGGUCUGUCAAGUCGGAUGUGAAAUCCCCGGGCUCAACCUGGGAACUGCAUUCGAAACUGGCAGGCUAGAGUCUUGUAGAUGGGGGUAGAAUUCCAGGUGUAGCGGUGAAAUGCGUAGAGAUCUGGAGGAAUACCGGUGGCGAAGGCGGCCCCCUGGACAAAGACUGACGCUCAGGUGCGAAAGCGUGGGGAGCAAACAGGAUUAGAUACCCGAGUAGUCCCUGUCUCUUAUAC